CAAGAAGAAAGGAGAAGACAGGGUGCCUGUCUUCCACAUCUAGUUUCCAUAGGAGCCAGAGACAAGAGGGGAUAAAAAGAGAAGCUUGAAGGAAGAGGAAGAGGAAGCUGGGGGUGGGUACAUGUAGUGGGAGUGAGGGGCAGAGUAGCAGCCAUUAUUGUAGAAAAGGUGGGGGAGGGAAGGACCAGGCUGGAGGGGCUCCCCAGCCUGGGAGGAAGCAGCCCUCUUCCUAUGCCAGUAGCUCCCUCUGCUU
Sapajus apella (tufted capuchin) is the source of this 253-nucleotide long non-coding RNA. RefSeq lists it as uncharacterized. Lineage: Eukaryota; Metazoa; Chordata; Mammalia; Primates; Cebidae. The record is from RefSeq and is a predicted model, not a curated record. The transcript is spliced from 4 exons.